This 440-nucleotide ribosomal RNA is filed under the name uncultured bacterium. RNAcentral's name for it is "bacterial SSU rRNA". It matches the Rfam family "Bacterial small subunit ribosomal RNA", at positions 478 to 916 of the family's 1533-position model. The record is from RNAcentral.
CCGGAGGAGGAAGCCCCGGCUAACUACGUGCCAGCAGCCGCGGUAAUACGUAGGGGGCAAGCGUUGUCCGGAUUCACUGGGCGUAAAGCGCGCGCAGGCGGUGAUGUAAGUCUGAGGUGAAAACCCGAAGCUCAACUUCGGGACUGCCUUGGAUACUGCGUCACUUGAGGAUAGGAGAGGCAAGGGGAAUUCCACGUGUAGCGGUGAAAUGCGUAGAGAUGUGGAGGAACACCUGUGGCGAAGGCGCCUUGCUGGCCUAUUUCUGACGCUGAGGCGCGAAAGCGUGGGGAGCAAACAGGAUUAGAUACCCUGGUAGUCCACGCUGUAAACGAUGAGUGCUAGGUGUAGGUGGGCUCAUACCCAUCUGUGCCGAAGCUAACGCAUUAAGCACUCCGCCUGGGGAGUACGGUCGCAAGACUGAAACUCAAAGGAAUUGACGG